RNAcentral lists this microRNA (22 nucleotides) under Taeniopygia guttata (zebra finch). RNAcentral describes it as "tgu-miR-2973-3p". The record is from miRBase by way of RNAcentral. Lineage: Eukaryota; Metazoa; Chordata; Aves; Passeriformes; Estrildidae.
ACUUGUUCCGAUUAUCCCAUGC